This is a non-coding RNA of Acanthosepion pharaonis, 98 nucleotides long. The record is from the annotation of a GenBank genome assembly. NCBI's taxonomy places the organism in Eukaryota, Metazoa, Mollusca, Cephalopoda, Sepiida, Sepiidae.
CUAAUACAUCGGUUCUCGUGCGAUAACCGAGGUUAAGCGAUGUCGGGCCUUGUCAGCACCUAGAUGGGUGACCCUUUGGGAGUAGUAAGUGCUGUAAG